GACGAACGCUGGCGGCGUGCUUAACACAUGCAAGUCGAGCGAUGAAGCUGGAGCUUGCUCCGGUGGAUUAGUGGCGAACGGGUGAGUAACACGUGAGAAAUCUGCCCUCCACUCUGGGAUAACUGCGGGAAACUGUAGCUAAUACCGGAUACUUUCCCUGGUGGGCAUCCACUAGGGAAGAAAGAAUUUCGGUGAAGGAUGAUCUCGCGGCCUAUCAGCUAGUUGGUGAGGUAAUGGCUCACCAAGGCGACGACGGGUAGCCGGCCUGAGAGGAGGACCGGCCACACUGAGACUGAGACACGGCCCAGACUCCUACGGGAGGCAGCAGUGGGGAAUAUUGCACAAUGGGCGAAAGCCCGAUGCAGCAACGCCGCGUGAGGGAUGAAGGCCUUCGGGUUGUAAACCUCUUUUAGCAGGGAAGAAGCGAAAGUGACGGUACCUGCAGAAAAAGCACCGGCUAACUACGUGCCAGCCGCCGCCGUAA
RNAcentral lists this ribosomal RNA (484 nucleotides) under uncultured bacterium. Its description in RNAcentral is "partial 16S ribosomal RNA". It matches the Rfam family "Bacterial small subunit ribosomal RNA", at positions 28 to 523 of the family's 1533-position model. The record is from RNAcentral.